UGGGCUAUAGCUCAGUGGCAGAGCAUGUGCCUUGCAUGUAGAAGGUCGCAGGUUCAAUACCAGCAACUCCAA
Non-coding RNA from Podarcis lilfordi (Lilford's wall lizard), 72 nucleotides. The record is from the annotation of a GenBank genome assembly. Lineage: Eukaryota; Metazoa; Chordata; Lepidosauria; Squamata; Lacertidae.